Molecule: non-coding RNA, 86 nt
Organism: Pelobates cultripes (western spadefoot toad)
Lineage: Eukaryota; Metazoa; Chordata; Amphibia; Anura; Pelobatidae
Source: the annotation of a GenBank genome assembly
GGGACUUCAGUGACCAGAAAUGACAGCAUACAAGUGAAGUGGAUUGUUCACUUGUAUGCUGUCAUUUCUGGUCACUGAAGUCCCCU